CUAACAGCAGCAGUCUUGGCCUGAGGCACAACUCAGUGUCCACAGAGCAGGACUGGGAGUCAAAGCUUGUCCAUGUGUCUGGAAAAACUGACCAUAGACAAAGGCUAAUGACAAUGUAGUUUUGAACACACAUGGACUCCACUGCCUGAAGCCUGAAGAGAAACAGGUACAGGACCAUCCAAUGAGGCAAUGUACCCAGGCUAAAAUCUGAACACUAAAAAGCCAAUGUAUACCUACUGAAAGUAGUGAAGGCCAAAUAUGGACCCUGAGAAUCCUGAGCUAAAGGUUGACAUGAAAGUACCCCAGGUAUAAGCAUAAACCUAAAGAUACAUGAUGCAUGAACCUCAAGUAAGAGGUGUUUCCUGGUCUACCAUUGACCAUUGUCCUGCCAAGGCCCAAAUGUAGAAGUGUGACUGGGACAAAUCCUGCAUUGAAAGAGGCCUGCACAAAAAAAAUUGAGUGGGCUAAAAGUAGAGUCUAAAGAAGCCCAGGCCCAAAUCAAGAAUAGAUUGGGCCCCUGGGCCAAUCCCUGAAUAUGAAAAGGUCAGUCCUACAGACAGAUAAUAUAUUGACAUGGGUAAAUUAUUCAAAUAAUAGAGGCCCAGGCCAGUCCAAGAAGAGGGAUGUGCCUGGGCCAAACUCUGACCCUGUAGAAGCCCAGGUCCAAAGCAAGAAGAAAUAUGGGCCUGGGCUAAUAGCUUACCCUGAAGAAGCCCAGGCCCAAAGCAAGAAGAGCUAAGGGCCUGGGCUAAUGCUGCACCCUUAAGAAUCCCAGGCCCAAAACAAGAAGAGAUGUGGGCCUGGGCCAUUCCCUGAAACUUAAGAUGCCUGGGCCCCGAAAGAGAUGAUAUAAGGGCCUGGGAUAAACCCCCAAAUAAAGAGGCUCAGAUUAAGCUACAAAAGGAGUAUGCCUGAACCAAACCCUAUCCCUGAAGAAGCCCGGGCCCAAAGCAAGAAGGGAUAUGGGCCCGGGCUAAUGCCUUAUGCUUUAGAAGCCCAGGCCCAAAGCAAGAAGAGAUGUGGGCCUGGGCCAGUCCCUGAAUCUUAAGAAGCCUAGGUUCAGAAAGAGAUGAUAUAUGGGCCUGGGACAAUCCCGAAAAUAAGGAGGCUCAGGUUAAGCAACAAAAGAAGUAUGCCUGAGCCAAACCCUAUCCUUGAAGAGGCCUGGGCCCAAAGCAAGAAGAGAUGUGGGCCUGGGCCAGUCCCUGAACCUUAAGAUGCCUGGGCCCAGAAAGAGAUGAUAUAUGGGCCUGGGACAAUCCCAAAAAUGAUAGAGGCCCAGGUUAAACAACAAAAGUAAUAUGCCUGGGCCAAACCCUAACCCUAAAGAAUCCUGGGCCCAAACCAAGAAGAGUUGUGAGCCUGGGUCAACACCUGAAAUGACAGAGGCCCAGGAAAAACCAAGAAAUGGAGUGAGUGCAACCAAAUUCAACCCCUGAUUCUCAGUACAAUUAGUAAAGUAAAAUCAUUCUGGGUUAACCCCUCACCAAAGAGAUCUGGGCCCAAACAAAGAGCACUGUGCCCACACCAAAUCUAAAGUGAAAAACAUUGUGGAUAAGAGUAUAUACCAUGAGGCUCUUUGAUCCAAGGCCUUAGUUUCAAUUGGUAUACUACAACCAAGUAGGUAUUAAUAUGCAGACAUAUGCCGGCUUGAACAUCGAUAACGUUGGACUUGCCCGCAAUACUUUCUGUACUAAUGGCUGAUAUAAAUGGACAACCUGAAUAUUUAAUAUGUGCUUCUAACACAUAUACUUCAUUCAAUCCAGGCAACAUCCUCAACAUGUGAGCAAGGAAGAUACCCUCACCAUAAUACAACCAGGGCUCACUAAAUAACCUAUCAGUGUAGACAGUGUAGAUCAGAUGUAGACAUCAAUGUAGACCAAAAGAGGUGUUAUGCUUCACCCUGUAGCUGUCUGACACAAGAACUUACCUUGACUUAGAUUGAUUUUUUUUUUUUUUGGAAACAUAUUUCUUGAAUGUACCUGUAAUGAAGAAUAUUGGACUAAUCACAGUUGGUCUUGUUCUGACUAACAUUUGGACACAUCAAAUCCUCAAAGAACCAGAUCUUUAUGAUCACCUGAUUAUUAACACAGAUGAAAGGACUUAUACAGACCUCAAAGGGACAGGGCUGCUCCUCGAGCCCCCAAAGCGUGGGCUAAUAUCGUCAUCAAGGGUGUGUGGACUAUACCCUCUUUCUAUGCAAUCUAGGACAAAAUCCUACCACAAAGGAGUGAUGCCUUAAAGGGACCAAACCUCACCUUAAUGACCAAAGGAAAUGGACAUACCCACGACCCUGACCUGGUCUGACCACCAGGCAUUACCUUCAUGCUAGUUUAUUUUGUAGGAUAUCAAUGGGAACUCAGGGCUGUUUGACCACCAAGAACCUUGGGUCAAAUUUCAAUUGUGUUUGGGCCACACCCACUCUUCUUCCAACCCAGGCUCCAUUAACAAUACAGGGGAGCCAGGACCAAAUGACAUCCUUGACUGUGUCCGAGCCACAAAUGACCAUCAAGCCAUGUGGGCAGACCUUGUACUUAGGGGUGUGUGGGCCGCACCCUUAUUUCAAGUCUGACCACAUGCUGUCUGGACUCCAAGAAAUACAGGAGAAGUUAAUGUGAGUGUGAGUUAGCCCGCAAGAAACCCUCUAACAAGAAUGGACCCACUGUACUAACAAAAGCAUUGAUGGUUUAAUCAUUGAAUUUCAACAUAUUACCUUCAAGAUGUAUAGACUAUGCAGCUAAGGCAACCAUGCUCAAAUGAGGGAGUCAAGACUACCUCACAGCCUUCACGACCAUCUGGGUCACAUUUGAAUAUCAAAUAACAGGCACACAUUGGGAUAGAGGGUGUGUGGGCCGCACCCAGGAAUGCCCUGUGCUCAGGUUUUAUCAGGAUUACAACAGAUCAAGGACAGCACUUUGAUCUCAAGUGUGACUUAGAACACAUAGUACUCCAAGAAGGUUGGACACAUUUUAACACCAUGGGAUGGUGGUCUGCAGAAUGACAUCAUAGAAAAAGACCUUAAAGUGACAUCGGUGGGAUCCUGCCAGCCAUUCAAUAUCAGUGUGAGCUGGGGGCUAACUUACCACCAAGAAGCCUGGGUCAAAAUUAACUUUGAGGGUUGUGGACCUCACCUCUCUCCAUCAAACUCAAGAGAUAAGCUUAACUAGGAGGAUCCAGGACCACAAAACAUGGCCUUCAUGAUGUCUGGGUCACACCAGAGAAGCAACCUGGGCAGACUUUACCAUGAUGGGUGUGUGGGCCGCACCCAAGUGUCAUGAUUUGCCCAGCCACUAUCUUGUCUACAAGAGAUCAGGACAAGAUGAUCUCAUGUGUGACUUAGCCAACACCAAGAACUCAUAAGAAAUUGGAACAACCACAACAACCAGCAUUAGUGGUCUGCUAUGUGACUUUAGCCUCAUGAACUUCACAAACCUCACAAGAUUAUGGUCCAAACCCUCUUAGUCUGACAUCCCAGGUUCCCUUCCCAUUCCCUAUUGACCUUGGUUCUCAACCUGACCUGAUUGGAAACACCAAGUAACCCACUGGGUUAAGAAUGUGAUGGAACACUAGUCUAGACAUAACCUUAAUGCUAAUUAGUAAUGGGAAACCUUGAAGGCCCUCCUCUGGAGGCAUGUUUUUGGCAUGCUCACUGUCUGGAAGUAGUUACUGAGAAUUCCUUAAACUCUCACCAGAGCCUGCCUAAAGGAAGAUGGAAUUAUACAGUGAUUUCUAUAAAUCUCUGCCUUCAUCUUCUGUAUAGAAAACAGUUCUGAAGAUGUGUAGUCUUAUAUUAUUAUUAUUGUGCAUUUCAUGCCCUAGCCUUAUGUAUAUAGUAUUCAAUAAAUGUGAGGUUCAUCUGGAACCAUGGUUUA
Long non-coding RNA from Peromyscus leucopus (white-footed mouse), 3872 nucleotides. RefSeq lists it as uncharacterized. The record is from RefSeq and is a predicted model, not a curated record. The transcript is spliced from 2 exons. Lineage: Eukaryota; Metazoa; Chordata; Mammalia; Rodentia; Cricetidae.